This 305-nucleotide unclassified non-coding RNA is filed under the name Hevea brasiliensis (rubber tree). Lineage: Eukaryota; Viridiplantae; Streptophyta; Magnoliopsida; Malpighiales; Euphorbiaceae. The record is from RNAcentral.
GCUUAUUGUUGAAUAAGCAGACAGCAACAACUGAAACAUCCUCUUGGUGUAAACCUCAGAAAAUGCAGCAACAAGAACCCGAGUUUCUUGACUCCAAUCAAAACCACGGAUAGCCUCAUACACGCCUGCAUAGUCACGUGUCCAUAAUCUCUGCCCAAUUCUCCAAGCAGCAGCCACUUCCGGCUGGCUUUCUUUGAUAGCGGAGGGUAUUGAUUUCCAGAGGAAUCGAGCACUGUUAAUAUCAUUAACAUAAAUGUGGCCAAGAAGAUGAAUCGGAUAAGGCCAUUCGUCCUGAAAAGGAAUCC